AUGAAUGAGGAGUACGAUGUGAUUGUGCUGGGCAUCGGCCUGGUGGAAUGUAUCCUUUCUGGUAUAAAGUCAGUGAAGGGCAAGAAAGUUCUUCAUAUGGAUUGAAACCUUUACUAUGGAGGAGAGAGUGACUCUAUAACAUUACUGGAAGAUUUAUACAAAAGAUUUAAAAUACUGGGACCACCAUCAGCAUCAAUGAGGAGAGGAAGAGACUGGAAUGUUGACUUGAUUCCCAAGUUCCUUGUGGCUAAUGGUCAGCUGGUUAAGACGCUGCUUUAUACAGAGAUAACUCGCUAUCUGGAUUUUAGUGACUGAAGGGAGAUUUGUCUAUAAAGGUGGAAAAAUCUACAAGGUUCCUUCCACUGAAACAGAAGCCCUGACAUCUAGCUUAAUAGGACUGUUUAAGAAACGUCACUUCAGGAAAUUCCUAGUAUAUUUUGCCAACUUAGAGGAAAAAGAUCCGAGAACUUCAGAGGGAAUUGAUCCUAAGAAGACCACAAUGUGAGAGGUGUAUAAGAAAUUUGAUUUGGGCCAAGAUGUUGCAGAUUUUACUGGUCAUGCUCUUGCACUUUACAAAACUGAUGACUACUUAGAUCAACCAUGUUGUGAAACCAUUAAUAGAAUUAAACAUGACAGUGAAUCUUUGGCAAGAUAUGGCAAAAGUCCAUACCUUUAUUCACUCUGUGGCCUUGGAGAACUGCCACAAGGCUUUCUGCAAGGCUAAGUGCUAUUUAUGAAGGUACCUAUAUGCUGAAUAAACCAAUUGAAGAAAUCAUUGGGCAGAAUGGAAAAGUAAUUGGUGUAAAAUCUGAAGGUGAAAUUGCUCACUGUAAGCAGGUCAUCUGUGACCUCCACUAUAUAAAAGAUUGGCCAGAAAAAGUGGGCCAGGUAAUCAGAGUUAUUUGCAUCCUCAGCCACCUCAUCAAGAACACCAGUGAUGUCAACUCCUGCCAGAUCAUUAUUCCACAGAACCAAGUCAGUCGAAAGUCAGAUAUCUGUGUUUCCACGAUCUCCUCCUCGCACAAUGUAGCAGCACAUGGGAAGUAUAUUGCCAUAGUUACUACAACUGUGGAAACCAAGGAGCCUGAGAAGGAAGUCAGACCAGCUAUGGAGCUCUUGGAUCCAACUAGAUGGGAAUUUAUUAGCAUCAGUGGCCUCCUGGUACCGAAAGACUUGGUAACAGAAAGCCAGAUCUUUAUUUCCAGUGCACACAAUCCUACCACUCACUUUGAGACAAUUGGGAUGACAUUAAAAAACAUCUAUAAGAAGAUUAGAGGAUUAGAGUUUGACUUUGAGGAAAUGAAGCAUAAGAAAAAUGACAUCUAUGGGGAAGACUAACAGCAGUACAUGUUAUUAUCCAAUUAGGACAAAUUUAAAAUUUGGUAAAUAAUGCAUAUUAUAUGAAAUCAAUAUUGUAAGGCCUGCUUUUGUAAUCAAAAUGGAGAGAUUGAAGAGUGCUGUGUCAGUAAAUACUCCUCCCCUUCAUCUUUCUAAUAUCAUAUAUUAACUUGUUUUCAUGGAGUGGCUAUUCAGAAUUCACCUGUUACCACAUUCUCUUCAAUUUAAUCAAACUGGUUUUUUUUUUUCCCCAG
Molecule: RNA transcript, 1592 nt
Organism: Mandrillus leucophaeus (drill)
Lineage: Eukaryota; Metazoa; Chordata; Mammalia; Primates; Cercopithecidae
Gene name: rab GDP dissociation inhibitor beta pseudogene
Exons: 1
Source: RefSeq, a predicted model, not a curated record